Molecule: ribosomal RNA, 373 nt
Filed under: uncultured organism
Description: partial 16S ribosomal RNA
Rfam family: Bacterial small subunit ribosomal RNA
Source: RNAcentral
GUAGGUGGCAAGCGUUGUCCGGAAUUAUUGGGCGUAAAGCGCGCGCAGGCGGUUCUUUAAGUCUGAUGUGAAAGCCCACGGCUCAACCGUGGAGGGUCAUUGGAAACUGGAGAACUUGAGUACAGAAGAGGAAAGCGGAAUUCCACGUGUAGCGGUGAAAUGCGUAGAGAUGUGGAGGAACACCAGUGGCGAAGGCGGCUUUCUGGUCUGUAACUGGCGCUGAGGCGCGAAAGCGUGGGGAGCAAACAGGGAUUAGAUACCCUGGUAGUCCACGCCGUAAACGAUGAGUGCUAAGUGUUAGGGGGUUUCCGCCCCCUUAGUGCUGCAGCUAACGCAUUAAGCACUCCGCCUGGGGAGUACGGCCGCAAGGCUG